GGCUCUGCUUCGGGUUGGCCGACUUCAUACCUGCCCGACUUCUAUUGAAGACAACAAAACAAAAAGAUACUGCAGCUGCAAGGUCAUCCCGGGGUAUUUACUGUUUGCUUAAUGAGCCUCGCACGGGGGAAACCUAAACCUUCAUUAAAUCUUUAGGGCGUCUGGUCUUCUACUCUGUGUGUGUGUGUGUGUGUGUGUGUGUGUGUGUGUUGUCUCCAAUGACUAGAGGAGUGAGAGUGUCUAAGCACUUAUAUGAGGUGGUCCUUUGGCCAUUUAGGAAAAACAAAGCAGGGCACACUAAUCAGGCCUGGCUAAAUAUGUUUACAUUAAAUGCCGUUUCACUUCUAAGAACUAAAAGAUGGGCCUGACACUGAGCAACAGCUGUAUGUGACCAUCCUUGUGUAAUAAUAAUAGAAUAUGAAUGUCUGAGCUCCUAGAGAAUCACACGGUCUCGACCUCUCUGCUUGAUAAACCACAGUGCAUCACCCUGGGGUUCCAGAAUUGACUGCACCUUUCCAAAAGCACCUGUGACCUGCGAGUCACAUGCAGCUGUCGUCGUAGUGACGGCAUUGUCAGAUACCCGAGUUGGGUGCUGGCGGGGAGCCUAGGCAGAGGAGAGCCAACCUGCUGAGGAGGUAGUCUGGGCGAAGAGGACACAGAGGACAGACGCCUAUUAUCUAUCAUCAUGCCGAGAAAACGCGAUGUGUCUUCUGAUGAUGUUGGGAUAGAGAUAGACGGGGAUUUGAGUGACAGUGAUGAUGGUGCCACCCAAAGGAGAACAAACAGGAGGCAGGCAGCAGGAAGAGGAGGUGCAAGGGCAAGAGGCCGGGGAAAGAAGCCAGCCAGCGAGGAUGAAGAUGAGGAUGAUGAAGAGGAUGAAGCUCCCAGGGGACGCAGGGGAGCGAACAAGAAGAAGCCCGCAAAGAAACGUGGCGGUGGUGACGAUGAUGACAGCGAGGACGAGGCUCCCAAGAGGAAGCGGGGAGGAGCGGCCAAUAAGAAGAAAGGAGGCAAAGCCCAGGACAGUGAUGAUGAGGACAGCGAUGCGGGAAAAGGAAAGAAGGGGAAGAAGGGAGGAAAGAAAGGAGGGAAAGAUGAGGAGGAGGAUAGUAAGGGAAAGAAAGGUGAUUCCAAAGGGAAGGACAAGGGGAAAGACAAGGACAAUGACAAGAAGAAGAAGAAGAAGAAGGACGACAGGUAAGUCAGAGCACACCAGAGGUGAAAGCAGUGCAUUAAUGUUCUUCUUGGGGGGAAGAACUGACAAUAUGAGAAAAAAUGCAUAACUUAAAACUUUAUUGUUAGCUAAAACAAUGUUCAUGCUGUGACACAUGUU
RNAcentral lists this long non-coding RNA (1333 nucleotides) under Sparus aurata (gilthead seabream). RNAcentral's name for it is "lncRNA (ENSSAUG00010021454.1)". The record is from RNAcentral. Lineage: Eukaryota; Metazoa; Chordata; Actinopteri; Spariformes; Sparidae.